UACAUUCACCACAGUAAGUCACUUUGGAUAAAAGUGUCUGCUAAUGCCACAUA
This is a non-coding RNA of Salmo salar (Atlantic salmon), 53 nucleotides long. NCBI's taxonomy places the organism in Eukaryota, Metazoa, Chordata, Actinopteri, Salmoniformes, Salmonidae. The record is from Rfam.